AGUCGAACGCUUUGUGGUUCAACUGAUUUGAAGAGCUUGCUCAGAUAUGACGAUGGACAUUGCAAAGAGUGGCGAACGGGUGAGUAACACGUGGGAAACCUACCUCUUAGCAGGGGAUAACAUUUGGAAACAGAUGCUAAUACCGUAUAACAAUGACAACCGCAUGGUUGUUAUUUAAAAGAUGGUUCUGCUAUCACUAAGAGAUGGUCCCGCGGUGCAUUAGCUAGUUGGUAAGGUAAUGGCUUACCAAGGCGAUGAUGCAUAGCCGAGUUGAGAGACUGAUCGGCCACAAUGGGACUGAGACACGGCCCAUACUCCUACGGGAGGCAGCAGUAGGGAAUCUUCCACAAUGGGCGAAAGCCUGAUGGAGCAACGCCGCGUGUGUGAUGAAGGGUUUCGGCUCGUAAAACACUGUUGUAAGAGAAGAAUGACAUUGAGAGUAACUGUUCAAUGUGUGACGGUAUCUUACCAGAAAGGAACGGCUAAAUACGUGCCAGCAGCCGCGGUAAUACGUAUGUUCCAAGCGUUAUCCGGAUUUAUUGGGCGUAAAGCGAGCGCAGACGGUUAUUUAAGUCUGAAGUGAAAGCCCUCAGCUCAACUGAGGAAUUGCUUUGGAAACUGGAUGACUUGAGUGCAGUAGAGGAAAGUGGAACUCCAUGUGUAGCGGUGAAAUGCGUAGAUAUAUGGAAGAACACCAGUGGCGAAGGCGGCUUUCUGGACUGUAACUGACGUUGAGGCUCGAAAGUGUGGGUAGCAAACAGGAUUAGAUACCCUGGUAGUCCACACCGUAAACGAUGAGUGCUAGGUGUUUGAGGGUUUCCGCCCUUAAGUGCCGCAGCUAACGCAUUAAGCACUCCGCCUGGGGAGUACGACCGCAAGGUUGAAACUCAAAGGAAUUGACGGGGACCCGCACAAGCGGUGGAGCAUGUGGUUUAAUUCGAAGCAACGCGAAGAACCUUACCAGGUCUUGACAUCCCUUGACAACUCCAGAGAUGGAGCGUUCCCUUCGGGGACAAGGUGACAGGUGGUGCAUGGUUGUCGUCAGCUCGUGUCGUGAGAUGUUGGGUUAAGUCCCGCAACGAGCGCAACCCUUAUUACUAGUUGCCAGCAUUCAGUUGGGCACUCUAGUGAGACUGCCGGUGACAAACCGGAGGAAGGUGGGGAUGACGUCAAAUCAUCAUGCCCCUUAUGACCUGGGCUACACACGUGCUACAAUGGCGUAUACAACGAGUUGCCAACCCGCGAGGGUGAGCUAAUCUCUUAAAGUACGUCUCAGUUCGGAUUGUAGGCUGCAACUCGCCUACAUGAAGUCGGAAUCGCUAGUAAUCGCGGAUCAGCACGCCGCGGUGAAUACGUUCCCGGGUCUUGUACACACCGCCCGUCACACCAUGAGAGUUUGUAACACCCAAAGCCGGUGGGGUAACCUUCGGGAGCCAGCCG
This 1440-nucleotide ribosomal RNA is filed under the name Weissella confusa. RNAcentral's name for it is "bacterial SSU rRNA". It matches the Rfam family "Bacterial small subunit ribosomal RNA". Lineage: Bacteria; Bacillati; Bacillota; Bacilli; Lactobacillales; Lactobacillaceae. The record is from RNAcentral.